AUUGAACGCUGGCGGCAUGCUUUACACAUGCAAGUCGAACGGCAGCGCGGGCUUCGGCCUGGCGGCGAGUGGCGAACGGGUGAGUAAUACAUCGGAACGUGCCCAGUAGUGGGGGAUAGCUCGGCGAAAGCCGGAUUAAUACCGCAUACGACCUGAGGGUGAAAGCGGGGGAUCUGCGGACCUCGCGCUAUUGGAGCGGCCGAUGGCAGAUUAGCUAGUUGGUGGGGUAAAGGCCUACCAAGGCGACGAUCUGUAGCUGGUCUGAGAGGACGACCAGCCACACUGGGACUGAGACACGGCCCAGACUCCUACGGGAGGCAGCAGUGGGGAAUUUUGGACAAUGGGCGAAAGCCUGAUCCAGCAAUGCCGCGUGUGUGAUGAAGGCCUUCGGGUUGUAAAGCACUUUUGGCGGGAACGAAAAGGACUGUGCCAAUACCACGGUUCGAUGACGGUACCCGCAGAAUAAGCACCGGCUAACUACGUG
RNAcentral lists this ribosomal RNA (484 nucleotides) under uncultured bacterium. RNAcentral's name for it is "partial 16S ribosomal RNA". It matches the Rfam family "Bacterial small subunit ribosomal RNA", at positions 29 to 507 of the family's 1533-position model. The record is from RNAcentral.